GAUGAACGCUGGCGGCGUGCCUAAUACAUGCAAGUCGAGCGAACAGACGAGGAGCUUGCUCCUCUGACGUUAGCGGCGGACGGGUGAGUAACACGUGGAUAACCUACCUAUAAGACUGGGAUAACUUCGGGAAACCGGAGCUAAUACCGGAUAAUAUAUUGAACCGCAUGGUUCAAUAGUGAAAGACGGGUUUGCUGUCACUUAUAGAUGGAUCCGCGCCGCAUUAGCUAGUUGGUAAGGUAACGGCUUACCAAGGCAACGAUGCGUAGCCGACCUGAGAGGGUGAUCAGCCACACUGGAACUGAGACACGGUCCAGACUCCUACGGGAGGCAGCAGUAGGGAAUCUUACGCAAUGGGCGAAAGCUUGACGGAGCAACGCCGCGUGAGUGAUGAAGGUCUUCGGAUCGUAAAACUCUGUUAUUAGGGAAGAACAAAUGUGUAAGUAACUAUGCACGUCUUGACGGUACCUAAUCAGAAAGCCACGGCUAACUACGUG
RNAcentral lists this ribosomal RNA (497 nucleotides) under uncultured bacterium. RNAcentral's name for it is "partial 16S ribosomal RNA". It matches the Rfam family "Bacterial small subunit ribosomal RNA", at positions 28 to 507 of the family's 1533-position model. The record is from RNAcentral.